Long non-coding RNA from Fukomys damarensis (Damara mole-rat), 388 nucleotides. RefSeq lists it as uncharacterized. NCBI's taxonomy places the organism in Eukaryota, Metazoa, Chordata, Mammalia, Rodentia, Bathyergidae. The record is from RefSeq and is a predicted model, not a curated record. The transcript is spliced from 4 exons.
CGGUAGAGGUCCCCUCCUCUGCCGGUCCCUGGACUCCGCCUCUCCCUGCCUUAGCUUCCGGGCUGCCCUGAGGGCUGCAGAAAAGCAAGAAGGAAAUUGGAACAGGAGGGAGUAGCCGGGACAAGUGAAGUACCACCAAGGACACUGAACCUCCCUGUUCUGAGCGCCGACUCCUGGAGGCUCUUUGGCGAGGCAUCCACCUGUCUUGGGGAUGACUGGGAUUUAUUAGAGAAGGGAAGCAAAGGAAAACAUCCUAGAGAAGGGAAGCAAAGGAAAACAUCCAGUCUCCUGAUCUGACAUUCACAGGAAGAGAAUCACCAGGAAGAGGAGCGGGUAGGGAAGCUCUGUCUUUCCUGAAUGGGCUUCCCUGCAGGGCGCACUCUGGAAA